RNAcentral lists this ribosomal RNA (435 nucleotides) under uncultured bacterium. RNAcentral's name for it is "bacterial SSU rRNA". It matches the Rfam family "Bacterial small subunit ribosomal RNA", at positions 68 to 491 of the family's 1533-position model. The record is from RNAcentral.
GGCAUCACAUGAAGUAGCAAUACUUGAUGGUGGCGACCGGCGCACGGGUGAGUAACGCGUAUGCAACCUGCCUACAACAGGGGGAUAACCCGUUGAAAGACGGACUAAUACCCCAUAACACAGGGGUCCCGCAUGGGAAUAUUUGUUAAAGAUUUAUCGGUUGUAGAUGGGCAUGCGUUCCAUUAGCUAGUUGGUGAGGUAAGGGCUCACCAAGGCAACGAUGGAUAGGGGAACUGANAGGUUUAUCCCCCACACUGGUACUGAGACACGGACCANACUCCUACGGGAGGCAGCANUGAGGAAUAUUGGUCAAUGGGCGCAAGCCUGAACCAGCCACGUCGCGUGAAGGAAGACGGCCCUACGGGUUGUAAACUUCUUUUGUAAGGGAAUAAAGUGCAGUACUCGUACUGUUUUGCAUGUACCUUACGAAUAAGG